Molecule: long non-coding RNA, 661 nt
Filed under: Rattus norvegicus (Norway rat)
Lineage: Eukaryota; Metazoa; Chordata; Mammalia; Rodentia; Muridae
Description: long non-coding RNA NONRATT017640
Source: RNAcentral
GAGCCAGCAGACUGGAAAUGACAGAGUGCUGAGCUGAGCAGAAGUGUAGCAAGUCACGCUGGUUGGAACCGGGGGUCCCCUGCACCAAGUAGCCCCAGCACCGUCCAAGGUGAUGCUGGCUCUGAGGACCUUUGGGGGCCAGGAAGGGCCACAGUCAAGCUCUGGGGGACUGAAGCAGUGUGAACUGGUGCUCCCCAGCCCUGCCAUUGCCCCUAAGGGCAACAGUGUGACUAUAACCCUCGUGGGCUCUGCUUCCAGGGUGUGGCUCCCACAGAUGCCUUGUGCCAGCUGUGGAUUGGCACCUGCUUCCAGGGGCAGAGCCUCCUGCCCUGUGAUCAUGUUCUGUAGGACGGCAGACGCCAUCCCUGGGGCUUUGAGAAGUGUUUAGUCACACCAACAGGGACGCCGGGGACCAUGUGGGUGCUAGGCAGGGAGGUUUGGGCUGUGGGUGGGCUUUAGGGAAAAUGCUCUCUCCAAAGCAGCUUUAAGCAGCUACAGAGGUGGUCUUUUGUGCUAAGGCUCAGCCUUUCCUAAACCCUCCGCCCGACUUCUGAUCUUAGUGGGGCUGCAGCCCAUGGCAGGUGCAGGUCCUUCUCAACGGUUCUCCAAGCUGUCACUUUUCCUGGCCUAUUAAAUGAAGUGUUGAUUCCUGACAAAUACA